This 692-nucleotide ribosomal RNA is filed under the name Metacrangonyx goulmimensis. Its description in RNAcentral is "12S ribosomal RNA". Lineage: Eukaryota; Metazoa; Arthropoda; Malacostraca; Amphipoda; Metacrangonyctidae. The record is from RNAcentral.
CUUAAUUAUCGUUUAUAUAUUUUCAUUAAAAACUUAAUAUUUAAAUAAUUUGCUCUUUUCUUUUUGUUGAUCUAAAUUUUAUUAGAAGUCUUUAAUUUUCUUCUUUAGUGAAAUCUUUUAGAGAGUUUUUUUUAUACAUAAUAAAUUUAGUGCCAGCAUUUGCGGUUAAACUAAAAUUUUAAGAAAAUAUUUAUUAAGGUAAAUAAUUAAAAAAGAGAGGUGUAUGUUUAUUGGGUGAAAUAUUUUUUUUUAAAAAAAAAUUUUUAAUAUUUUAGAGAAAUGAGAUUAUGGACUAGGAUUAGAUACCCUAUUACACUUAAUUACCUAAUCCUUAAAAGAUUAAAGAUAAAAAUUUGAAAAUUUGGCGGCUUUUUGAAUUAGAGGAAUUUGUCUAUUUAAUUGAUAACCCUCAUUAUUUUGGUUUUUAGGUUCAUUUUGUAUACCAUCAUUUUAAUAAUUUUUUAAUAAAUAAUUAUUUUAACCAUCUUAAGAAAGUUAGAUCAAGGUGCAGAUAUACUUAAAAUUAGAUUAGUUACAAUAAUUAUUUACGACAGUGUUAAAUAAAUUUUUAGUAAAGGGUGGAUUUAAAUGUAAUAUAUACAUAUAUGAAAAUUAAAAAUUUAGUGUACAAAUUGCCCGUCACUCUCUUUGGGAUAAGUCGAAACAAAGUAGAAGAACCUGAAGGUUCUUCU